UACGUAGGGUGCAAGCGUUAAUCGGAAUUACUGGGCGUAAAGCGUGCGCAGGCGGCUAUAUAAGACAGAUGUGAAAUCCCCGGGCUCAACCUGGGAACUGCAUUUGUGACUGUAUAGCUAGAGUACGGCAGAGGGGGAUGGAAUUCCGCGUGUAGCAGUGAAAUGCGUAGAUAUGCGGAGGAACACCGAUGGCGAAGGCAAUCCCCUGGGCCUGUACUGACGCUCAUGCACGAAAGCGUGGGGAGCAAACAGG
Molecule: ribosomal RNA, 253 nt
Filed under: uncultured bacterium
Lineage: Bacteria
Description: partial 16S ribosomal RNA
Rfam family: Bacterial small subunit ribosomal RNA
Source: RNAcentral